RNAcentral lists this long non-coding RNA (474 nucleotides) under Lathyrus oleraceus (garden pea). RNAcentral describes it as "Pisum sativum (pea) long non-coding RNA (PSAT_LNC006022)". Lineage: Eukaryota; Viridiplantae; Streptophyta; Magnoliopsida; Fabales; Fabaceae. The record is from RNAcentral.
ACCGGCUCCAAACGCUGAAAGCUACAUUCGCAGAGCUAAAAUUCUUCAGUAAAACACAUUAUAAUACAACUAAAUCCAUAAUUAAUCAUAACAUUUGAACCACUAUCCUUCUACAUAAUCCAAGACCAUUGUCCAAGUCCAAGUAUCUAACUCUAACCCAUGAUAAAUACAAUUCACCAUGUUACACCCAUUGCCUAUAUCCUAAUGCAAAUGACUAUGGCCAAAGCGGAAACGAAACGGUUGUGACGUGAAGCUGCAAAUGCGAGCUUUCCAAACUUUCAUAGCCGAUAGCCAACAGCCAAAAGGCCAAGAAACGGAACAACAACCUGCCUUUCAAUUCUAAUCAACCUGCAUACUUUUCAACCUGCAGAAGGAAUGUUUUUAAGAGAAUGUUAAAUUCAUUCCAAAGUUCCAUUACAUCAUAAAUCAUUCAAAACCAUUAACUCACCACCAUCCGACAUUUCCAAUUAGCAC